RNAcentral lists this long non-coding RNA (835 nucleotides) under Androctonus crassicauda. Lineage: Eukaryota; Metazoa; Arthropoda; Arachnida; Scorpiones; Buthidae. The record is from RNAcentral.
CCAAUAAUAUAUAUAUUAUCUUGAAUGGUUAAAUUUAAUAAUCAAAUUUUAAGUAUAAAACUAACAAAUUUAAUUGGGAAAACUUUAGCUUUAAAUGACCCUUCAGAGAAGAGGGGAAAGAGAGAAAAUUUUAGGUAUGGAUAAAACCAUAAUUCCUUGGGAGACUAAACAAUGAUCAAAUUACCGACAGCUGUCAAGUCCAGAUGUGAAGAACUGAGAGAAAAAUAAUAUCGUAAAAUAUCUUGGCAGUGAGAUCCACCUGCCAAUUCCAGUGGAAGAGGGGCAGUACAAAUUGGCCAAAUAAGGUCUACAAUGAAGUUUGAACCUCUCCAUCGAUAUGAUUGGGUGGACCAAGAAAUAAAACAGAGCAGCAGCAAGCUAGAGGCUUUUUCUUCGCUCCUUUUUGUUUGUUCUCGUCCUUUUUGCCUCAUCUCAAUGCUUCCACCUUUUUUUGAUAAGUAUAGUUAUAUAAAGAAAGAAGAAAAGACAAGGAAAGCCCACAAGGUAUGUUUAUGAGUCAGAUGUAAAAUCCCCCACCUUUAAUUUGAUAGGAAUUAUUUUAUUAAAUCUGAAUUCAUUAGCUUUUGUUUUCUUCUCUUUACUCAAAUUACUAUCCAUGUAAUCAUUGUCGUUCUUUUUGUUUAUGUAAUUAUUAUUUUUAUAAUUCUAUUUUUACAAUUAUAAAUUGUCCUCAUUCCAGUAGAUUUCCAACACUGGACUCUGAGUGCCACUUACUUGCACGCCUAAAUUUCUAAACAUGCGCUUGGUAUGAACGCGAUAAAUUGUCACACCUGGUGUCAGACAAUCCUGAUUUAGCUGUCUCCGCUCGACAGUU